GACGAACGCUGGCGGCGUGCUUAACACAUGCAAGUCGAACGGAAAGGCCCUGCUUUUGUGGGGUGUUCGAGUGGCGAACGGGUGAGUAACACGUGAGUAACCUGCCCUUGACUUUGGGAUAACUUCAGGAAACUGGGGCUAAUACCGGAUAGGAGCUCCUGCUGCAUGGUGGGGGUUGGAAAGUUUCGGCGGUUGGGGAUGGACUCGCGGCUUAUCAGCUUGUUGGUGGGGUAGUGGCUUACCAAGGCUUCGACGGGUAGCCGGCCUGAGAGGGUGACCGGCAACAUUGGGACUGAGAUACGGCCCAGACUACUAAGGGAGGCAGCAGUGGGGAAUAUUGCACAAUGGGCGGAAGCCUGAUGCAGCAACGCCGCGUGCGGGAUGACGGCCUUCGGGUUGUAAACCGCUUUCGCCUGUGACGAAGCGUGAGUGAAGGUAAUGGGUAAAGAAGCACCGGCUAACUACGUG
Molecule: ribosomal RNA, 468 nt
Filed under: uncultured bacterium
Lineage: Bacteria
Description: partial 16S ribosomal RNA
Rfam family: Bacterial small subunit ribosomal RNA
Source: RNAcentral